GGGUAGGUGGCCGAGUGGUUAAAGGCGACGGACUGUAAAUCCGUUCUCACUGAGUACGAUGGUUCGAAUCCAUCCCUGCCCACCA
This 85-nucleotide transfer RNA is filed under the name Quinella sp. 1Q5. Its description in RNAcentral is "tRNA-Tyr". It matches the Rfam family "tRNA". From Rfam's summary of the family: Transfer RNA (tRNA) molecules are approximately 80 nucleotides in length. Their secondary structure includes four short double-helical elements and three loops (D, anti-codon, and T loops). The record is from RNAcentral. RNAcentral also lists the same sequence under 2 other names. Lineage: Bacteria; Bacillati; Bacillota; Negativicutes; Veillonellales; Veillonellaceae.